This is an RNA transcript of Chenopodium quinoa (quinoa), 2826 nucleotides long. RefSeq lists it as uncharacterized. The transcript has 2 exons. NCBI's taxonomy places the organism in Eukaryota, Viridiplantae, Streptophyta, Magnoliopsida, Caryophyllales, Amaranthaceae. The record is from RefSeq and is a predicted model, not a curated record.
AACAAUGUCCAAGGAAGAACGGCUAGUAGUGUUAGUUGUUUUACCAUGAACAAUGGUUUUUUUUUUUUUUUUUUUUUUUUUUUUUUUUUUUAUUUUUUGUUUUUUGAUUUUUUUUUUUGUAUGUGUGUGUGUGUGUACUAUUCAUGAUGUUUAGGCAAAUUUUAGUAAGGUAAUCUUAGGAAUUUGCUUAAGGUUUAAGGGGUAAUUACAAUCAUAGCCAUAACAUCAAUUAUAAUAACCAAGAGUAAAUAUAAAGCAAUAAACAAGUAAUCCAAAUAUUAUAAGAGAGUUUAGAGAUACAAUAUUGAAUAAAGAUAGGCUCCUUGAUCAGAAUAGACAAUAGAUCCGUAAGAAUUAAUCAAGAACUUGCUAACACAUUUUGUAUUAAUGUAUGAGUAUGCGUAUGAGAGUGUUACAAUGCUAGGUUUAGCUAUAUAUCUAGGGGUUCCUAGGUUUCAUAUGAAUAUUCAGAGUAUAUUCAAAAGACAAGAUCUUUUGAUUUUGUUCUUCUUUCAUUCUGCAGCUCGGGUAUCUUUGGCAUAUUCCCAACUGAUUGAUUCUUUGAUCUUCUUGCCAUACUUGUAUCAAUCAAGCUAUCUUGGUUGAUCUUUGAUUUAUUUGACCUAUUUUCGGUCACUUGGCUAUGCCCUACGAUUUAUGGGCUUCUUCAGAGUAUGGGCCCAACAAUUGCCCUAAUUUCUAUGUUCAAGUAUUUGAAGAUGGAAGUAAUAAAACAUGUCGUUGGAUUAUUUUAAAAUUUGGAAGUUUUUUCUUACAACGGUUAACAAAAAUAGGGAGUGGGUGACGUUUAUUACGCAAGUACUUGGGAGUCGUGACCGACGAUUUGUCUCCUUGAAGUAUUUAUCGGGUGUGCAGGCUUCAAUGAAAUCACUUUACUCUUUGCCCCAAUUCGAACUUCUUUCUCAGGUGUAAAGAAUGAAGCCGAUUUUUGUUGCGCAGAACGUAUUCCUGUUAAGGAAAUUUAUCCUUCUCAACCGACGAAGGAUGAUGUGAGGAAAUUGCUACUGUUGCACGCUUUCCCGAUGGGGUGGUGGUGAAGAUUAUAUCUUCUAAAGGGAGGGCAGACUGGACUACCCCUGGCUGCUGGGUGUGUUUAACUUGGAGGGUUUUGCGAGUUCUUGAUUUGCUGAGUGCGAAGUUGGGUAUCUCGCUGGAUGUGAAGGAUCUUUGCUAUCCCUACACUAUUAGGACCAGUGGUAAGGGCCGGGUUACUCUAUGUUUGAAGGAUGGUGUUGAUCGUUUGGUGACAAAAUUGGAGCAGGCUUUUAAUAAGAAGUGGUAUCAUAGGUUAUUUGUGAGGAUUGAUUCUUUUGGUGGAGAUACCAGUUUCUUAAUUGACACUAUUGAGGCUGAAGGUUUUUUUAAUUUCUGAUUUUGUGUUGAUUUUCCUUCUUUGUUGAUUUGGGCUUAUUUACGUUUUAUUUGCAGUGAGUAAGUUGAAGCACCACACUGAAUCUCAGCCCUUGGUUAAUCGUUUGUACAAGUUGAGUUUUGUCGAGAGAUCCUUCGUAAGUUGACACAACCCGAAGCAGUUGUACAAAUCGAGAACUUAGACGAGUGGGAAUCUGACGAAGAAAUUGCCCCUGCUUUGUCUAUGUUGUUUUGACAUACUUGGUCUGUGUAUGUUUAGCGUAAUGUAUAGCUUUGCUUGUGUUGUGUGUUGGUUGUCUUAUUAUGCUAUGUAUUCUUCAAGGUCGUGGCUCUGAAUUGUCCUGUUAAACUGAUUUUGGUUUUGUUCGUUGCACUUUGUUUCUUUAGAUAUUGCUAGUUCGUUGAGGUCCCAUGAUUUGCUUAGUUCGUCAUCUAUCUUGGGGCGUAUUAAACAGAAGGCUUCUAAAGCUGGGGAGGACAUUCUUGAGAAGGGUCUUGUAAUGAAAAGGGCUCUUUUUCCUCCUUCGCCCCAUGCUUCUGGUGUAAAGAGGAACUUUGAAGUCCUUGCUGAUUUUGAUGCCUUGAGUUUCUCCUAUGAGACUUUGGCUCCUUAUGCAGAUAACUUGUUGUUCCCUUUGUUUAAAGAACGUCAAUCCUUGUAGACUUUUUGUCGACCUUUCUCAGGAGGCUGUUGUGCACUCUUUUCCAAUAUGGUAUACUCCCCAAAAAAAAUUCUUUAGACAGACACGAGGAAAUUACUUGAUCCUUGCUAAUGUUACUCAUGUCUAUUCAGAGUCUUCAAUCUUUCUUAGGGGUGUUGAGUAAGGUGUCAGAGUUCUCCAGGGCUUUUGAAGUCAUGAAGAAGGAACGUGACUCUCUCUCUGAUAAGUUUAAGGCGGCUUCCGAAGCUUUGAAGAGUGAACAAACUAAGUACAAGGAUUAUCGUGUUGAGUUUGAUGAGACAAAAGGCACUUUGAAGUCUGCUGCGAAUGAAUCUCUUGAUAUGGCAAGCUACUACUUUGGCAAGGCUCGUUUGGAGAUGAUAGAGGAGUAUCAGCAAGACAAACAUGAGGCAUGGGAUUAUGCUACAGAGAAGGUUGCCUUUGCAAUGUCUUUCCCUGAUGGAGUUGUCGCUCCAGGCUCCCUGUUGCUGAGCUAUGCUAAUGAAGAGGUGAAUUCUCCGGCCAAAACGACGACGUGAAGGUUUCUCCAGAAGAAGAGAAGGUCCUUGAUGACAAGACUGGAGGAAAUUAGCUUUGCAGUGUCAUUCCCUCAGUUUUUCAGAAUAAUUCGUUUUAUAUUUCUUAGUAUUUAUAGUAUUACUGCCUAAGUGUAGUGGGAUAUUUAUUUUCUUUUGCUUUUUUGCUGCCUUGUCGUAGCUGGAUGCUUUGUUUGUUUUGUUGCUUUGCGCACUUAAGUAAUUUUAUAUUUUAU